AGUGAACGCUGGCGGUAGGCCUAACACAUGCAAGUCGAACGGCAGCACAGGAGAGCUUGCUCCCUGGGUGGCGAGUGGCGGACGGGUGAGGAAUACAUCGGAAUCUACUCUGUCGUGGGGGAUAACGUAGGGAAACUUACGCUAAUACCGCAUACGACCUACGGGUGAAAGCAGGGGAUCUUCGGACCUUGCGCGAUUGAAUGAGCCGAUGUCGGAUUAGCUAGUUGGCGGGGUAAAGGCCCACCAAGGCGACGAUCCGUAGCUGGUCUGAGAGGAUGAGAAGCCACACUGGAACUGGGACACGGUCCAGACUCCUACGGGAGGCAGCAGUGGGGAAUAUUGGACAAUGGGCGCAAGCCUGAUCCAGCCAUACCGCGUGGGUGAAGAAGGCCUUCGGGUUGUAAAGCCCUUUUGUUGGGAAAGAAAUCCAGCUGGCUAAUACCCGGUUGGGAUGACGGUACCCAAAGAAUAAGCACCGGCUAACUUCGUGCCAGCAGCCGCCGCGG
Molecule: ribosomal RNA, 506 nt
Filed under: uncultured bacterium
Lineage: Bacteria
Description: partial 16S ribosomal RNA
Rfam family: Bacterial small subunit ribosomal RNA
Source: RNAcentral